AGUCUUAUAUUCAAUAAUUGAUUUAAAAUUGCAAAUUUUAAGGUGUAAAGAAAAUUACUAAGGCUU
Molecule: transfer RNA, 66 nt
Filed under: Erynnis montana
Lineage: Eukaryota; Metazoa; Arthropoda; Insecta; Lepidoptera; Hesperiidae
Description: tRNA-Cys
Source: RNAcentral